UACGUAGGGUGCAAGCGUUAUCCGGAAUUAUUGGGCGUAAAGAGCUCGUAGGCGGUUUGUCGCGUCUGCUGUGAAAACUGGAGGCUCAACCUCCAGCCUGCAGUGGGUACGGGGCAGACUAAGAGGUGAUGUAGGGGAGACUGGAAUUCCUGGUGUAGCGGUGAAAUGCGCAGAUAUCAGGAGGAACACCGAUGGCGAAGGCAGGUCUCUGGGCAUUAACUGACGCUGGAGGAGCGAAAGCUGGGGAGCGAACAGG
This 256-nucleotide ribosomal RNA is filed under the name uncultured bacterium. RNAcentral describes it as "partial 16S ribosomal RNA". It matches the Rfam family "Bacterial small subunit ribosomal RNA", at positions 524 to 776 of the family's 1533-position model. The record is from RNAcentral.